RNAcentral lists this ribosomal RNA (587 nucleotides) under uncultured bacterium. RNAcentral describes it as "bacterial SSU rRNA". It matches the Rfam family "Bacterial small subunit ribosomal RNA", at positions 338 to 948 of the family's 1533-position model. The record is from RNAcentral.
CCUACGGGAGGCAGCAGUGGGGAAUAUUGGACAAUGGGCGAAAGCCUGAUCCAGCAAUGCCGCGUGAGUGAUGAAGGCCUUCGGGUCGUAAAGCUCUUUUACCAGGGAUGAUAAUGACAGUACCUGGAGAAUAAGCUCCGGCUAACUCCGUGCCAGCAGCCGCGGUAAUACGGAGGGAGCUAGCGUUGUUCGGAAUUACUGGGCGUAAAGAGUACGUAGGCGGUUAUUCAAGUCAGAGGUGAAAGCCCGGGGCUCAACCCCGGAACUGCCUUUGAAACUAGAUAACUAGAGUCUUGGAGAGGUUAGUGGAAUUCCGAGUGUAGAGGUGAAAUUCGUAGAUAUUCGGAAGAACACCAGUGGCGAAGGCGACUAACUGGACAAGUACUGACGCUGAGGUACGAAAGCGUGGGGAGCAAACAGGAUUAGAUACCCUGGUAGUCCACGCCGUAAACGAUGAUAACUAGUUGUUCGGUCACUUGGUGACUGAGUGACGCAGCUAACGCAUUAAGUUAUCCGCCUGGGGAGUACGGUCGCAAGAUUAAACUCAAGGAAUUGACGGCUGAGACNGCGAGACGACACGAGGAGAG